Molecule: long non-coding RNA, 3295 nt
Filed under: Sus scrofa (pig)
Lineage: Eukaryota; Metazoa; Chordata; Mammalia; Artiodactyla; Suidae
Description: lncRNA (ENSSSCG00015012037.1)
Source: RNAcentral
UUUUUUUUUUUUUUUUUUUCCUCAAAUAGUUAUUAUAACUCUGGUCAUGGGAGACAAAAAGCUGCCAGGAAGGAUAAUAGCUUCCAACACUUAAAGAUAUUAGCUACAAAUUGGAUUAGCUCUCCUUAUCAGUUUUGGAUUGAAAAAUACCUUUGUAAUGACAUAGCUCUCUGUAAUAAAGUGCCAUGCUAAUGCAUAUCAGUGUUUGGUCAGAAUUAAAUCUUUGAAGAAUGAAUAAUGACAACAGCCAUAUUCCCCAAACUAAUAUAAAGAUUCAAACUCUGAAAAAUUCUAUUUGUUAUUUUCAAAUUUAUCUAUAAAUAAAUGUGUGGUAUUAAUGUCUUCAUCAUGUUCGGUCUUCCCUGUGUCCUUCCACAUUGACUCUUGGCUUGGUUUUAUGACUUGCUUAGGCCAAAAGAAUGAAAGUAUACUUGAAAUUUGGAGAGACUUGACAAGUACUUUUUUUAUUAGGUUUUCCCUCUUUCUUUCCUUGGAACCCUAUACCAAGUGAAGGAGCCUGUGAUAAAAUGCUAAAGGAUAGAGGCUAAAUGGUGGAAAUAGAAAUGCUGGCCAGCAGUCAGCCAGCCAACUGUUGUCAACAGACUUAUGAGUAAAUUCCAGAGAAGAUUAUCCAAACCUGGUCCAGAACAGCAGAAUAACCCAGUUAUGCCCAGCCUGCAUUGCUGACCUUCAAAAACAUCAGCAAAAUAAGUUGCUGUUCUAAAUUUGGGUAUAGUUUGUUACAAUAACUAGCUGAUAUAUUACCAUUUAAGAAUGUUUCUAGGAGUUCCUAUUGUGGCUUAUGGCUUAAGGACUCAAUGUUGUCUGUAUGAGGAUGUCGGUUCCAUCUCUGGCCUUGCAUAGUGGGUUAAGGAUCUGACAUUGCUGCAGGUUGUAGCAUAGAUUGCAGAUGUGGCUCAGAUCUGGUGUUGCCAUGGCUAUGGUGUAGACCACAGCUGCAGCUCCUAUUUGACCCCUAGCCUAGGAACUUCCAUAUGCCACAGGUGCAGCCAUAAAAAGAAAAAAAAUAGAUACUGCUCUACUAAAAUACUUGACUUUAUUUAUAGACAUCCUAAAAUGCUAGAAUGUAACAAUGAGAAGCCCUUCACCCCUUGAUUUUAUACAUGAGAAAAGUAUAUUCCAGAGAUGUAAAAUAACUUAUUUAAAGUUCUAUAACUAGUUAAUGACAGCAUGGAAAUAGGACCUAGUUCUUCGGGCUCUCUCCCAAGUGAUCAUUUUACUAGAUGAUUAGUGUACUUUGUUCACCAAAAAAAAAGAUGCUAUGGUCCUCAAGUGUAUGUGCUAGAUUUAUCUCACUAAUAAUUAGAAUUAAAUGUGCUGCACACAUUCACCUAUGCCAUGCCAUGUCCUUCUGUGAUGAAUUCCUGACCUGUCCCUAGUUAUGGUGUUUUCAUCUGCCUGUAGUGUAUGCAGGGAUAGCCCCCCACUCCUGCACCCCAAACCCUGUAUCUUUAACUCAGUAUCUAAUCCUGAAUCAAGCAGUUUCUCUUACAUGGAAGCUACUAGGCUGGCUACACACAUUUACAUAGAAGUUAUAAAGAGACAAUGAGUUCAAAUGAACUUAGACAGUAGGCAGGAUAAACUCCAUGUUUAUUUCAGUUACAUUUUCCCCCAAGUCCCAUGUGGGUACUAUAGAGGCAGGACCUGGUGGACAAUGUGGUUACAAGGGUUUGUGUCACAGCUGAAGAACACUGAUAAACACUGAAACUCCCAAUAUUUUAUAGGAGUGGCUAGCAAACUUGUCCAAACCUUCUUCUCCAGGGACGAAAUUAUCUUUAUUAUCCUUGUCAGGAAACAAAUAUUCCUUCUCACCUAGAGGGAGACAAUAUAUCUAACUUCAAGGGAUAUCUGUUAUGCCAAUCUUUGAACAAAGUUGUCAAUGUAUUUUGCUCAGAAGAUGUGGAGAAAUUCCUUAUCUGUGGAGAGUUUUCUCCCAGCAACCAAAUAUGCUCAGUUCAACUUCAUCUCUUGUUUGGUUGAGUAAAUAGUCUCCACGUGCUCUCAUCAGUUCCAUUCCAAUUUGAUUCAUUCCCACUCUAUAUACUUCAUAGAAUUAGCUUUUUAUAAUAUAAAUAUUAUCCUAACACCAGCUCUUUAUUUCAUAUUGACAAAACCCCUACCAUUUUACACUAUUGUAUGGGAUUAGCCUCUGCCCUGCUUGCCAGUAUCAUCUGUGGCUAAAAUUAUUUUGUUGUUCUCUGAAUCCCCAAGCCACUUUGGCUUUCUCUCAUUCCCUCAAACCCAUUGAUUUGUUUUUCACUUCAAGAACAUUGCACAUGUUAUUUAUUGGAGUGGUAGCCACUUUAAUCAUCCAUAUUUCUCCCCACUGCCCCAUCAGCCUCCUGGUGCCUACUCCUUCUUAUCCAGUAGGUCUCAUUUCAGAAUCCAGAAUUGUAUUUGGUUACUUGUUAUCAUUAUACUCACCAGUUUUAUUCAUUGUGUUAAACAUAGCUUUAUUGAUAUAAAAUUUAUAACACUAAAAUUCACCCAUAUAAAAUGGACAAUUCAAUGGAAUUAUAAAACUAUUAUUGCAAUCAAUUCUAAAAUGUUUUCUCCAUUUCAGUGGUUUUAUUCUUGACACCUGAAGAAUUUGUAAUGAUACAAUUUAGUUUGCCUACUUGUUUAUCUUCUAUCUCCUUCAUUACAUUGUAGGCUCCAAGAGGAUGAGGAACAGAUAUCUUCAUUUACUAUAGUAUAUUCAGCAUAAUCAUAGAGUUAGGGUACAUAAUAGACAAUUAAAUAUGUAUUGGUUGAAUGUGAGGAGAGGUCUUGGGAAAUUUUUCUACAAAGAGGAUAUGGCACAAUUAAAGGCCCCAGAUUGGAACUAACAUGAGAAGUUCAAAGAACUGGGAAAAAUUGGAAUAGCUUGAAGAAGAAGGCAAAUAAGUCAUGAUAAUAAGAUAAAGCUGGUGAGGUAGGCAAAGAUCUUUAAAGGCUUUAAUAACAAUUUCAGUUUAAUAACUCUACUUAUUCCACUUUGUUUUCUGCUUGAGGUUCACUGAGAAGCCCUGUCCAGAUCAAAGGAAUUAUAUUAGAACUUCUUCUACAACUAUUUGACUGUUUGAACUUUCCUGGAGUUUACAUAAAUACUAAAAUAUUUAUAACCUCACAUGAUAUAGGCUAAUCUUUGGGCAAUAUCUCAAGUUUAGGCUUUGCCAUGAACUCACUUAAACCAAGGUCAAGAAUGUUUUAUUGAAUAAAUCUAAACCUUAUGUCCAUAUGUGCCCUCUAGUGUCACCACUGAUUCUGAGUCCUCACCUAAGGCUACUCUUCC